UACGUAGGGUGCGAGCGUUAAUCGGAUUUACUGGGCGUAAAGCGUGCGCAGGCGGUCCGCUAAGACAGGUGUGAAAUCCCUGGGCUCAACCUAGGAAUUGCGCUUGUGACUGGCGGGCUAGAGGUCGGUAGAGGGGGGUGGAAUUCCUGGGGGAGCAGUGAAAUGCGUAGAGAUCAGGAGGAACACCGAUGGGGAAGGCAGCCCCCUGGGCCUGUACUGACGCUCAGGCACGAAAGCGUGGGGAGCAAACAGG
Molecule: ribosomal RNA, 253 nt
Filed under: uncultured bacterium
Lineage: Bacteria
Description: partial 16S ribosomal RNA
Rfam family: Bacterial small subunit ribosomal RNA
Source: RNAcentral